UUAAGCGACUAAGCGUACACGGUGGAUGCCCUGGCAGUCAGAGGCGAUGAAGGGCGUGCUAAUCUGCGAUAAGCGCCGGUAAGGUGAUAUGAACCGUUAUAACCGGCGAUACCCGAAUGGGGAAACCCAGUGUGAUUCGUCACACUAUCAUUAACUGAAUCCAUAGGUUAAUGAGGCGAACCGGGGGAACUGAAACAUCUAAGUACCCCGAGGAAAAGAAAUCAACCGAGAUUCCCCCAGUAGCGGCGAGCGAACGGGGAGGAGCCCAGAGCCUGAAUCAGCAUGUGUGUUAGUGGAAGCGUCUGGAAAGACGCGCGAUACAGGGUGACAGCCCCGUACACAAAAGCGCAUGUGCUGUGAGCUCGAUGAGUAGGGCGGGACACGUGGUAUCCUGUCUGAAUAUGGGGGGACCAUCCUCCAAGGCUAAAUACUCCUGACUGACCGAUAGUGAACCAGUACCGUGAGGGAAAGGCGAAAAGAACCCCGGCGAGGGGAGUGAAAAAGAACCUGAAACCGUGUACGUACAAGCAGUGGGAGCACAGGUUUACCUGUGUGACUGCGUACCUUUUGUAUAAUGGGUCAGCGACUUAUAUUCUGUAGCAAGGUUAACCGAAUAGGGGAGCCGGAGGGAAACCGAGUCUUAAUUGGGCGUUAAGUUGCAGGGUAUAGACCCGAAACCCGGUGAUCUAGCCAUGGGCAGGUUGAAGGUUGGGUAACACUAACUGGAGGACCGAACCGACUAAUGUUGAAAAAUUAGCGGAUGACCUGUGGCUGGGGUGAAAGGCCAAUCAAACCGGGAGAUAGCUGGUUCUCCCCGAAAGCUAUUUAGGUAGCGCCUCGUGAAUUCAUCUCCGGGGUAGAGCACUGUUUCGGCUAGGGGGCCAUCCCGGCUUACCAACCCGAUGCAAACUGCGAAUACCGGAGAAUGUUAUCACGGGAGACACACGGCGGGUGCUAACGUCCGUCGUGAAGAGGGAAACAACCCAGACCGCCAGCUAAGGUCCCAAAGUCAUGGUUAAGUGGGAAACGAUGUGGGAAGGCCCAGACAGCCAGGAUGUUGGCUUAGAAGCAGCCAUCAUUUAAAGAAAGCGUAAUAGCUCACUGGUCGAGUCGGCCUGCGCGGAAGAUGUAACGGGGCUAAACCAUGCACCGAAGCUGCGGCAGCGACACUCAGGUGUUGUUGGGUAGGGGAGCGUUCUGUAAGCCUGUGAAGGUGGCCUGUGAGGGUUGCUGGAGGUAUCAGAAGUGCGAAUGCUGACAUAAGUAACGAUAAAGCGGGUGAAAAGCCCGCUCGCCGGAAGACCAAGGGUUCCUGUCCAACGUUAAUCGGGGCAGGGUGAGUCGACCCCUAAGGCGAGGCCGAAAGGCGUAGUCGAUGGGAAACGGGUUAAUAUUCCCGUACUUGGUGUUACUGCGAAGGGGGGACGGAGAAGGCUAUGUUGGCCGGGCGACGGUUGUCCCGGUUUAAGCGUGUAGGCUGGUUUUCCAGGCAAAUCCGGAAAAUCAAGGCUGAGGCGUGACGACGAGGCACUACGGUGCUGAAGCAACAAAUGCCCUGCUUCCAGGAAAAGCCUCUAAGCAUCAGGUAACAUCAAAUCGUACCCCAAACCGACACAGGUGGUCAGGUAGAGAAUACCAAGGCGCUUGAGAGAACUCGGGUGAAGGAACUAGGCAAAAUGGUGCCGUAACUUCGGGAGAAGGCACGCUGACACGUAGGUGAAGUGAUUUACUCACGGAGCUGAAGUCAGUCGAAGAUACCAGCUGGCUGCAACUGUUUAUUAAAAACACAGCACUGUGCAAACACGAAAGUGGACGUAUACGGUGUGACGCCUGCCCGGUGCCGGAAGGUUAAUUGAUGGGGUCAGCGCAAGCGAAGCUCCUGAUCGAAGCCCCGGUAAACGGCGGCCGUAACUAUAACGGUCCUAAGGUAGCGAAAUUCCUUGUCGGGUAAGUUCCGACCUGCACGAAUGGCGUAAUGAUGGCCAGGCUGUCUCCACCCGAGACUCAGUGAAAUUGAACUCGCUGUGAAGAUGCAGUGUACCCGCGGCAAGACGGAAAGACCCCGUGAACCUUUACUAUAGCUUGACACUGAACAUUGAGCCUUGAUGUGUAGGAUAGGUGGGAGGCUUUGAAGCGUGGACGCCAGUCUGCGUGGAGCCGACCUUGAAAUACCACCCUUUAAUGUUUGAUGUUCUAACGUGGACCCGUGAUCCGGGUUGCGGACAGUGUCUGGUGGGUAGUUUGACUGGGGCGGUCUCCUCCUAAAGAGUAACGGAGGAGCACGAAGGUUGGCUAAUCCUGGUCGGACAUCAGGAGGUUAGUGCAAUGGCAUAAGCCAGCUUGACUGCGAGCGUGACGGCGCGAGCAGGUGCGAAAGCAGGUCAUAGUGAUCCGGUGGUUCUGAAUGGAAGGGCCAUCGCUCAACGGAUAAAAGGUACUCCGGGGAUAACAGGCUGAUACCGCCCAAGAGUUCAUAUCGACGGCGGUGUUUGGCACCUCGAUGUCGGCUCAUCACAUCCUGGGGCUGAAGUAGGUCCCAAGGGUAUGGCUGUUCGCCAUUUAAAGUGGUACGCGAGCUGGGUUUAGAACGUCGUGAGACAGUUCGGUCCCUAUCUGCCGUGGGCGCUGGAGAACUGAGGGGGGCUGCUCCUAGUACGAGAGGACCGGAGUGGACGCAUCACUGGUGUUCGGGUUGUCAUGCCAAUGGCACUGCCCGGUAGCUAAAUGCGGAAGAGAUAAGUGCUGAAAGCAUCUAAGCACGAAACUUGCCCCGAGAUGAGUUCUCCCUGAGACUUAGAGUCUCCUGAAGGAACGUUGAAGACGACGACGUUGAUAGGCCGGGUGUGUAAGCGCAGCGAUGCGUUGAGCUAACCGGUACUAAUGAACCGUGAGGCUUAACCUU
Molecule: ribosomal RNA, 2902 nt
Filed under: Salmonella enterica subsp. enterica
Lineage: Bacteria; Pseudomonadati; Pseudomonadota; Gammaproteobacteria; Enterobacterales; Enterobacteriaceae
Description: bacterial LSU rRNA
Rfam family: Bacterial large subunit ribosomal RNA
Source: RNAcentral